GCCCCAGUGUCCUAAUGGAUAAGGCACUAGCCUCCUAAACCAGUGACUGUGGGUUCAAAUUCCACCUAGGUUG
RNAcentral lists this transfer RNA (73 nucleotides) under Alligator sinensis (Chinese alligator). It matches the Rfam family "tRNA". Rfam says of the family: Transfer RNA (tRNA) molecules are approximately 80 nucleotides in length. Their secondary structure includes four short double-helical elements and three loops (D, anti-codon, and T loops). Lineage: Eukaryota; Metazoa; Chordata; Crocodylia; Alligatoridae. The record is from Rfam by way of RNAcentral.